AGCUCCAAUAGCGUAUAUUAAAGUUGCUGCAGUUAAAAAGCUCGUAGUUGGAUUUGUGGGAUGGCCGUCCGGCGGGGGGCCUUUCAUGGUCCCGUUUGUCCUGGUUUUCGGCCUUCCCUUUCUCGGGUCUAGCGUAUUGGCUGGCAUUAGGUUGUCGGCCGCUUCGCGCCCGUCGUUUACUGUGAAAAAAUUAGAGUGUUCAAAGCAGGCUUAGGCCGUUGGAUACAUUAGCAUGGAAUAAUGAGAUAGGGCCACCGCGGUCUAUUUUGUUGGUUUGCACGUUGUGGUAAUGAUUAACAGGAAUGGUUGGGGGUAUUCGUAUUCAAUUGUCAGAGGUGAAAUUCUUGGAUUUGUGGAAGACGAACUACUGCGAAAGCAUUUACCAAGGAUGUCUUCAUUA
This 400-nucleotide ribosomal RNA is filed under the name phytoplankton environmental sample. RNAcentral describes it as "partial small subunit ribosomal RNA". It matches the Rfam family "Eukaryotic small subunit ribosomal RNA", at positions 587 to 975 of the family's 1831-position model. The record is from RNAcentral.